RNAcentral lists this ribosomal RNA (476 nucleotides) under uncultured bacterium. RNAcentral describes it as "bacterial SSU rRNA". It matches the Rfam family "Bacterial small subunit ribosomal RNA", at positions 30 to 507 of the family's 1533-position model. The record is from RNAcentral.
AUUGAACGCUGGCGGAAUGCUUUACACAUGCAAGUCGAACGGUAGAGGGGGCAACCUCUCGAGAGUGGCGAACGGGUGAGUAAUAUAUCGGAACGUGCCCAGUCGUGGGGGAUAACGUAGCGAAAGUUACGCUAAUACCGCAUACGAUCUACGGAUGAAAGCGGGGGACCGUAAGGCCUCGCGCGAUUGGAGCGGCCGAUAUCAGAUUAGGUAGUUGGUGGGGUAAAGGCUCACCAAGCCAACGAUCUGUAGCUGGUCUGAGAGGACGACCAGCCACACUGGAACUGAGACACGGUCCAGACUCCUACGGGAGGCAGCAGUGGGAAUUUGGACAAUGGACGCAGGUCUGAUCCAGCCAUUCCGCGUGCAGGAUGAAGGCCUCGGGUUGUAAACUGCUUUGUACGGAACGAAAAGGCUCUGGUUAAUACCUGGGGCUCAUGACGGUACCGUAAGAAUAAGCACCGGCUAACUACGUG